GUGCUUGUUUGGGCAGCCACAUAUACUAUUUUUGGAAUGAUACAGAGAUUAGCAUGGCUGCUGCACAAGGAUAAUGUGCAAAUUUGUGAAGCAUUAAUCGGAAAG
Artibeus jamaicensis (Jamaican fruit-eating bat) is the source of this 105-nucleotide small nuclear RNA. The record is from RefSeq and is a predicted model, not a curated record. NCBI's taxonomy places the organism in Eukaryota, Metazoa, Chordata, Mammalia, Chiroptera, Phyllostomidae.